UUCUCCGCGCUGAACCACGACUGACAUAGUCGCUGAAAACUCAGCUAGCUCGGCCGGUGGUUCUAAGAAAGAACGGUCUGUUCUCCGGUGCUUGCUCGGCCGUCACUCCUCGCCACAACGAGUAAUUAUCUUCCUGUCCCCUUUUGAUUUUCGUUUUUAGAAUUAGGGUUUGUACAAUUCUGUUUUUGUUUUUUUGUUUUUUUGGCUAGUUCUUCAAUUCGUUCUUUGCACUUAAUUUGUGAAGAUCGUACUGCCUGCAGGAAUCUAUCAUCGUGCUUGUUUAGAUUUAACAACUGCAUUAAGGCUUCUAUUUUGCUGUUGACACCAGCAUUUGCAAGGCUUAUUUUGCGACUUAAUCUUCAGCCUCCUGAAUUUGUUACUGAUUUUGAGUUAGCGCUCCCUAGUCAAAUCCUAUUCUGCUAUGGUUCCAGCUAGCCUCUUGCUUGUAGCCUUGUAGGGGAUAAGAAAAGGUAGAGUUCCCCAAAAACCAUUCGCAAAAUAAUCGAUUUCUUUGCCUGGAAGUCUACGAUUACUCAUUGGCACCAACUUUGCGUCUGCUGGUUCGGGUUACGCCGAGAGAACAGCCAGCUUAUAUAGGGCGGUAUCUCUUACGCAACAGUUGGGGUACUACAAGGAGUACCAGAGUAAGGUGACAAAAUUGGUGGGGAUUGAGAAAGCAAAAGGGAUGUUCUCAGCUGGAAUUCAUCUUCUCGGUGCUGGAAAUAGUGAUUAUCUUCAGAAUUACAACAUCAAUACUUAUAUCUACAGACAGUAUACACCUGAUCAGUUUGCUGAUCUUCUUAUGACCUCCUUCUCUAACUUUGUCCAGUUCUUUAAGCGCUCGGUGGAUCAGUAUGAGAGUGACUUGCAGUUUGUGGUCCAAUCUCUUUUACUUUCUAUGGAUGUAAACGAGCUUCAGCUUGUUAAAUCUGGUCUAUGCUAUGGA
This is a long non-coding RNA of Spinacia oleracea (spinach), 946 nucleotides long. RefSeq lists it as uncharacterized. The transcript is spliced from 5 exons. The record is from RefSeq and is a predicted model, not a curated record. Lineage: Eukaryota; Viridiplantae; Streptophyta; Magnoliopsida; Caryophyllales; Amaranthaceae.